UACGUAGGGCGCAAGCGUUGUCCGGAAUUAUUGGGCGUAAAGAGCUCGUAGGCGGCUUGUCACGUCGGGUGUGAAAGCCCGGGGCUUAACCCCGGGUCUGCAUUCGAUACGGGCAGGCUAGAGUGUGGUAGGGGAGAUCGGAAUUCCAGGUGUAGCGGUGAAAUGCGUAGAUAUCUGGAGGAACACCGGUGGCGAAGGCGGCCCCCUGGUUGGAUACUGACGCUGAUACGCGAAAGCGUGGGGAGCAAACAGG
Molecule: ribosomal RNA, 253 nt
Filed under: uncultured bacterium
Lineage: Bacteria
Description: partial 16S ribosomal RNA
Rfam family: Bacterial small subunit ribosomal RNA
Source: RNAcentral